Molecule: small nuclear RNA, 108 nt
Organism: Saimiri boliviensis boliviensis (Bolivian squirrel monkey)
Lineage: Eukaryota; Metazoa; Chordata; Mammalia; Primates; Cebidae
Source: RefSeq, a predicted model, not a curated record
GUGCUCGCUUCAGUAGCACAUAUACUAAAAAUUGGAACGAUACAGAGAAGAUUAGCAUGGACCCUGCGCAAGGAUGACACGCCAAUCCAUUAAGUGUUCCAUAUAUAU